RNAcentral lists this long non-coding RNA (256 nucleotides) under Elaeis guineensis (African oil palm). RNAcentral describes it as "long non-coding RNA (EGUI_LNC030534)". Lineage: Eukaryota; Viridiplantae; Streptophyta; Magnoliopsida; Arecales; Arecaceae. The record is from RNAcentral.
CUAAUUCAGUCGGGACUCAUGAUAGAAGAACUCAAUCAUACAGGUAGCUGCACUGAGAGGUUCGUCUUCAUUUCUGAUGGGUUGCCACCAUAUACUGCUAGGUAUCACUGGUGGAUUUUGGAAGCAAUUAGAAUGAUCUUGAUGAUCGAUCAUUCUAAUUGUCUGAAUCAGAAGAGUUCUGGUCCAUCGAAAGGAGUUUCGAUGAUGUCGAUGAUGAGAUCACGACAUGUCUCAUUACCAUACGGAAAUGAACCUA